AACGAACGCUGGCGGCGCGCCUAAUACAUGCAAGUCGAGCGAGAAGACGUAGCAAUACGUUUGUAAAGCGGCGAACGGGUGAGGAAUACAUGGGUAACCUACCCUCGAGUGGGGAAUAACUAGCCGAAAGGUUAGCUAAUACCGCGUACGCUCCUUGGACUUCGGUUCAGGGAGGAAAGCGAUACCGUGGGUAUCGCGCUCUUGGAUGGGCUCAUGUCCUAUCAGCUUGUUGGUGAGGUAACGGCUCACCAAGGCUUCGACGGGUAGCUGGUCUGAGAGGACGAUCAGCCACACUGGCACUGCGACACGGGCCAGACUCCUACGGGAGGCAGCAGUAAGGAAUAUUGCGCAAUGGGCGAAAGCCUGACGCAGCGACGCCGCGUGGGGGAUGAAGGUCUUCGGAUUGUAAACCCCUUUCGGGUA
RNAcentral lists this ribosomal RNA (423 nucleotides) under uncultured bacterium. Its description in RNAcentral is "bacterial SSU rRNA". It matches the Rfam family "Bacterial small subunit ribosomal RNA", at positions 29 to 442 of the family's 1533-position model. The record is from RNAcentral.